This 206-nucleotide long non-coding RNA is filed under the name Elaeis guineensis (African oil palm). RNAcentral describes it as "long non-coding RNA (EGUI_LNC063791)". The record is from RNAcentral. Lineage: Eukaryota; Viridiplantae; Streptophyta; Magnoliopsida; Arecales; Arecaceae.
AUCCCUAUUGCUUAAUCAAAUUGAGCCAAUUAAUAAUCAAAUUAUCAAUUAAUUAUACUUCUACUUUAUCAACUAUUAGUAAAUAAUUUAUUAUAAUCUUUGCAUAGGAUUAUUCAUCAAUCACAUUGAUAAUUAAACCCUUCAAUGAUUUAUAAUUGUCGAUCAACCAUUUGAUCAGACAGGUACUUCUAUGUGUAUGACCCCAU